This 512-nucleotide ribosomal RNA is filed under the name uncultured bacterium. RNAcentral describes it as "partial 16S ribosomal RNA". It matches the Rfam family "Bacterial small subunit ribosomal RNA", at positions 355 to 849 of the family's 1533-position model. The record is from RNAcentral.
UGGGGAAUAUUGGACAAUGGGGGCGCAAGCCUGAUCCAGCAAUGCCGCGUGUGUGAAGAAGGCCUUCGGGUUGUAAAGCACUUUUAUCAGGAGGCGAAACGCUGUCGGCUAAUACCCGGCGGAACUGACGGUACCUGAGGAAUAAGCACCGGCUAACUUCGUGCCAGCAGCCGCGGUAAUACGAAGGGUGCAAGUGUUAAUCGGAAUUACUGGGCGUAAAGCGUGCGUAGGGUCGGUUUCAUUAAGUCUGCUGUGAAAUCCCCGGGCUCAACCUGGGAAUGGCAGUGGAUACUGGGAGGCUAGAGUGUGUGCAGAGGGUGGUGGAAUUCCCGGUGUAGCGGUGAAAUGCGUAGAGAUCGGGAGGAACAUCAGUGGCGAAGGCGGCCACCUGGGACAACACUGACGCUGAGGCACGAAAGCGUGGGGAGCCAAACAGGAUUAGAUACCCUGGUAGUCCACGCCCUAAAGCGAUGCGAACUGGAUGUUGGUCUCAACUCGGAGAUCAGUGUCGG